Molecule: ribosomal RNA, 208 nt
Filed under: Morganella morganii
Lineage: Bacteria; Pseudomonadati; Pseudomonadota; Gammaproteobacteria; Enterobacterales; Morganellaceae
Description: partial 16S ribosomal RNA
Rfam family: Bacterial small subunit ribosomal RNA
Source: RNAcentral
UAAUUGAAGAGUUUGAUCAUGGCUCAGAUUGAACGCUGGCGGCAGGCCUAACACAUGCAAGUCGGGCGGUAACAGGGGGAAGCUUGCUUCUCUGCUGACGAGCGGCGGACGGGUGAGUAAUGUAUGGGGAUCUGCCUGAUGGAGGGGGAUAACUACUGGAAACGGUAGCUAAUACCGCAUAAUGUCUUCGGACCAAAGCGGGGGACCU